GAUGAACGCUGGCGGCGUGCCUAAUACAUGCCAGUCGAGCGAACGGACGAGAAGCUUGCUUCUCUGAUGUUAGCGGCGGACGGGUGAGUAACACGUGGAUAACCUACCUAUAAGACUGGGAUAACUUCGGGAAACCGGAGCUAAUACCGGAUAAUAUUUUGAACCGCAUGGUUCAAAAGUGAAAGACGGUCUUGCUGUCACUUAUAGAUGGAUCCGCGCUGCAUUAGAUAGUUGGUAAGGUAACGGCUUACCAAGGCAACGAUGCAUAGCCGACCUGAGAGGGUGAUCGGCCACACUGGAACUGAGACACGGUCCAGACUCCUACGGGAGGCAGCAGUAGGGAAUCUUCCGCAAUGGGCGAAAGCCUGACGGAGCAACGCCGCGUGAGUGAUGAAGGUCUUCGGAUCGUAAAACUCUGUUAUUAGGGAAGAACAUAUGUGUAAGUAACUGUGCACAUCUUGACGGUACCUAAUCAGAAAGCCACGGCUAACUACGUG
Molecule: ribosomal RNA, 497 nt
Filed under: uncultured bacterium
Lineage: Bacteria
Description: partial 16S ribosomal RNA
Rfam family: Bacterial small subunit ribosomal RNA
Source: RNAcentral